GGAUGUAAGGGAGAUCUGGCUGUGACACCCAUCACCCACGGAUCUCAGGAUUGAUCCUACUUAUCUGGCUGGCUAGAUGCGUGUCCCCUUCCUCCCUCUCCACUCUGUGUGCCCCUCUCAAAGCCAUGUGCUCGGUGGAAGAGGGUGACCCCAACGAUUGAUGGUGUGUUUCUCAUAUGAGGGUGGUCAACAUUCUAAUUUCUGCACCAGCUUUAUUUUAUUUAACCUAAUGCCUUGGAGCACCAUCCAAGUUGUGUCAAUAAAUGUGUUAUAAAAUAAGUGUCACCUAAAAUAUCAAGAAACUGGGCAAAGAAGUCAUUU
Molecule: small nuclear RNA, 321 nt
Filed under: Fukomys damarensis (Damara mole-rat)
Lineage: Eukaryota; Metazoa; Chordata; Mammalia; Rodentia; Bathyergidae
Description: 7SK RNA (ENSFDAG00000002585.1)
Rfam family: 7SK RNA (bases 1-186)
About the family: 7SK was discovered as an abundant small nuclear RNA in the mid-70s but a possible function has only recently been suggested. Two independent studies have found that 7SK RNA binds the CDK9/cyclin T complex (known as elongation factor P-TEFb).
Source: RNAcentral